UGGGGAAUAUUGCACAAUGGGCGCAAGCCUGAUGCAGCAACGCCGCGUGAACGAUGAAGGUCUUCGGAUCGUAAAGUUCUGUUGCAGGGGAAGAUAAUGACGGUACCCUGUGAGGAAGCCCCGGCUAACUACGUGCCAGCAGCCGCGGUAAUACGUAGGGGGCUAGCGUUAUCCGGAUUUACUGGGCGUAAAGGGUGCGUAGUUGGUCUUUCAAGUCGGUGGUUAAAGGCUACGGCUCAACCGUAGUUAGCCUCCGAAACUGGAAGACUUGAGUGCAGGAGAGGAAAGUGGAAUUCCCAGUGUAGCGGUGAAAUGCGUAGAUAUUGGGAGGAACACCAGUAGCGAAGGCGGCUUUCUGGACUGCAACUGACACUGAGGCACGAAAGCGUGGGUAGCAAACAGG
RNAcentral lists this ribosomal RNA (403 nucleotides) under Verrucomicrobiota bacterium. RNAcentral describes it as "Verrucomicrobia bacterium partial 16S ribosomal RNA". It matches the Rfam family "Bacterial small subunit ribosomal RNA", at positions 355 to 776 of the family's 1533-position model. Lineage: Bacteria; Pseudomonadati; Verrucomicrobiota. The record is from RNAcentral.